GAAAUAUCUCAAUGAGAU
This 18-nucleotide small nuclear RNA is filed under the name Arabidopsis thaliana (thale cress). RNAcentral describes it as "snRNA_05915". Lineage: Eukaryota; Viridiplantae; Streptophyta; Magnoliopsida; Brassicales; Brassicaceae. The record is from RNAcentral.